This 549-nucleotide ribosomal RNA is filed under the name uncultured Glomeromycotina. Its description in RNAcentral is "SSU rRNA". It matches the Rfam family "Eukaryotic small subunit ribosomal RNA", at positions 548 to 1098 of the family's 1831-position model. Lineage: Eukaryota; Fungi; Glomeromycota. The record is from RNAcentral.
UUGGAGGGCAAGUCUGGUGCCAGCAGCCGCGGUAAUUCCAGCUCCAAUAGCGUAUAUUAAAGUUGUUGCAGUUAAAAAGCUCGUAGUUGAAUUUCGGGGUUAAUAGGUUGGUCAUGCCUCUGGUAUGUACUGGUCUCACUGAUUCCUCCUUCCUGAUGAGCCGUAAUGCCAUUAAUUUGGUGUUGCGGGGAAUUUGGACUGUUACUUUGAAAAAAUUAGAGUGUUUAAAGCAAGCUAACGCUUGAAUACAUUAGCAUGGAAUAAUGAAAUAGGACGUUCGAUCCUAUUUUGUUGGUUUCUAGGAUUGACGUAAUGAUUAAUAGGGAUAGUUGGGGGCAUUAGUAUUCAAUUGUCAGAGGUGAAAUUCUUGGAUUUAUUGAAGACUAACUACUGCGAAAGCAUUUGCCAAGGAUGUUUUCAUUAAUCAAGAACGAAAGUUAGGGGAUCGAAGACGAUCAGAUACCGUCGUAGUCUUAACCAUAAACUAUGCCGACUAGGGAUCGGAUGAUGUUAAUUUUUUAAUGACUCAUUCGGCGCCUUACGGGAAAC